Molecule: long non-coding RNA, 570 nt
Filed under: Equus caballus (horse)
Lineage: Eukaryota; Metazoa; Chordata; Mammalia; Perissodactyla; Equidae
Description: lncRNA (ENSECAG00000043868.1)
Source: RNAcentral
CUGUGGCACUCACUGAGACAGCAGACCUAUCUGCCAUUUCCAUCAAGCGCUGUGCUGACAGAGCAGCCUCGUGACUAUUGUAAAAGGGACUUUUCAAUCACAUGUGAAACACCCCGUUUGGGGGCUAUAUAACCACUACGUGGGCCCCACUUCUUCGGUGCCCUUUCUUCCUUCAGGAAGAAAGGCCCUGGGCCAUGGUUCCUCAUAAAGCUUUGUUUAAUUUUCUCUUGCUAUUCUGUCUCAUGUGAAUUUAAUUCGUUCUCCGGCCAGACGAACCCCCAUUUGGGAAGAGGAAAUGUCCUCCUCCCCUACAGUUUUGGCGUAGUCGGCAGGAUGAAAUUUCACUGGCUGGACACUGCUUGCUCCUGGACUGCUGUGGCCGAGAGAUCCUGGACCCCUGACGAGAGCCGGCAAGAGGCCUUUGCCUCUUGCUUCCCUGCCUGGCUCACCUGUGCUGGCUCAGGGACUAAGUGCCCUGGGCUAAGUGGGAUUUGACUAGAUCUUAUAACUAUGUUGAUGCCUGCAGUCAGGCGCCUUUGCACCCUUUCUCUGGCCUUGUCAGUCGGACAC